GGGUCAAAGCUCAGUGGUAGAGCACCUGCUUUGCAUGCAGAAGGUCCCAGGUUCAAUCCCCAGCAUCUCCA
Molecule: non-coding RNA, 71 nt
Organism: Podarcis lilfordi (Lilford's wall lizard)
Lineage: Eukaryota; Metazoa; Chordata; Lepidosauria; Squamata; Lacertidae
Source: the annotation of a GenBank genome assembly